Long non-coding RNA from Bubalus bubalis (water buffalo), 1025 nucleotides. RefSeq lists it as uncharacterized. The transcript has 3 exons. The record is from RefSeq and is a predicted model, not a curated record. Lineage: Eukaryota; Metazoa; Chordata; Mammalia; Artiodactyla; Bovidae.
GCCAUCUCAUCUCAGAAGUUUGUCUCAUGGUAUAACAGAGAUACUUGCUUCCUUCAUAAAGAUUUGUAUAUUGUCAUAGAAAAAAAAAAUGAGAAAUGACUUUUCACAGUGCCUUCUUUAGGACAAAGGCCCAGACAGCCCCUACUUCUUUCCCCAACACUUAAAGGGCCCUGAAGUCUGACCAUGUGCUGUACCCUUUGGGCAGGUUUCCUCAUUCAUCCACUAAGACAGCUUUGUGACAAAGGCACCAUGAGUCCCAAGAUGUCCCAAGAUGAGUCCCAGUCACAGAUGCCCAAGAUCAUGGUGACAGAGCCUGGGUCACCUCUGCAGAAUAAUAUAUGCAACAUUAUCCAGAAAGAGGAGGUUUGCAAAGGAACACUGCAAUAGGAUACUGGCACCAGGUACAUCAUCCACCUUGGGGAUGCCAGGUAUCCCUAUAUUUUUGCAAGUCAAUAAACCUGAUUCGAUCUCAAUUUCCUAUUUUGUAAAACCUGGGAGUGUGAAAAGAACACAAGCAAAAUUUUGGAGGUGAUGAAUACAUUUAGGACUUUGGUUUGGUGAUUAUUAUGAGUUUAUGCAUAGGUCCAAAUUCAAGAAUAUAUAUAUGUUAAACAUGUGCAAUUUUUUGGCAUAUCAAUUAUACCUUGGUAAAGCUAAAACAAACAAGGGACUAUGUUUAAACUAUUAUAGGUAUUUUUGAAAGCAGAGUCCCCAGACAACCUAUAUGCCAUAAGGAACAUGCACUCUCUAAUAGAGGGCCAAUUCUCCUGUUGAGGAUUAAUAAUUGAAGAAGCAGUCCCCAAAUACAUACAGACAGGAAGUGCACAGACUCUUUAAUGGACACUGACUGACUGAGGGCCCCACCAGCAGUAUCAGAACAUGUAGGUUUCCCAUCAUGCUCACCCACUGGACAUACUCCAUAGUUUGUUGUUAUACUUUCCAAUGUGAUGAAUGGAAAAUCUAUUGCCAUCAUUUUUAACUGCAUAUCAAGGUUAUUGAAAAUAAAUCUUUCCUCCUAUACAAGA